This 362-nucleotide long non-coding RNA is filed under the name Fukomys damarensis (Damara mole-rat). RNAcentral describes it as "lncRNA (ENSFDAG00000022720.1)". The record is from RNAcentral. Lineage: Eukaryota; Metazoa; Chordata; Mammalia; Rodentia; Bathyergidae.
ACCCAGGAAGGAAGCAUUUUGUUCCUGUUGGACAGACAGCCUGGCGGGCCAUAUGGCCACGCCGUUGUCAAGCUCUAAGCUGAUAGUCCUGAUUACUGCCUACAAUCAUCCUGUGGCCUUGAGAAAUCAAGAAAUCAGUCUAAGGAUACAGUUGAGCAGUAGAAUGGAGACAAGGCCACUGACAUCACCGAGACACUGAAACAAGCAAUUCUGUCUUUGGUCCAAGGUGAGCCACUAAAUUUCCUCUGCUCUUAAACCAGUUUGACUUGUUUUUUUCUGCUACUUGCACUGAUAAUCAUUUUACAUUACAUCGCUAGAUUCAAAUCCUAUUCUUUCUGACUCUAAUGUAGAGGCCCACACCA